GCCUUCGUGGUGCAGUGGUCAGCACACUCGAUGUGUAACCGAGACGCCAGUGGUUCAAUUCCCGGCGAAGGCU
RNAcentral lists this transfer RNA (73 nucleotides) under Stegodyphus mimosarum. It matches the Rfam family "tRNA". From Rfam's summary of the family: Transfer RNA (tRNA) molecules are approximately 80 nucleotides in length. Lineage: Eukaryota; Metazoa; Arthropoda; Arachnida; Araneae; Eresidae. The record is from Rfam by way of RNAcentral.